AAUGACUAUUCCCAUCACACAAACGGCGUCAUUUUGGGAAGUGAUUCAUCGCCUUCUUCCUCAGGAACCGUUUCUGGAGUAAAGGCUCAAAGCCGUUUCAAUCGCAAGGAUGCUUGGCAUUAUCUGGCUAUAAAGCCAGAUAAGAUGAGAGAGCACAGGAGGGGGGGGAAGACAGAAAAAGACUGGGGUGCAUAACCGAAAAGCCACUGGUGAUCACAGAACCGGGGAAGAGGAGAAAAUAAACAGACUUUCGUUCCUCUGUUUCUUCUCAAAGAAACAGAGGAGGUUAAAGAAAAAAACAAAGCAACGAAGGGGAGGAAAAGGGCAGAACCGAGGGGCGGACGGGAGGAGAAAAAAGAGCAGAACUGAGAAAAAGAAAAAAAAGAAAUAGAACCGGGGAGUGAGACUGUACAGAGGGGAGCAAAAUUUGUGCCCCUGUUUCUUCCAAAAGAAACAGAGGCGUUCGGCGCCAUUCUCUGGUAAGCCAGAGAAGGCCACAGAGAAGGAAACAAGUAACUCAGGGGGCACCACCUCCCCCCCUUACCACUGAACUCAUAGACGAAGCAGAAAAGGCAGAAGACGCAGGAGACGGAGAUUGGAAAAGAGGGAAGCUAAACCCAGACACGAAAAAAACCAGGGAAACGGGGAGGAAGAAAAAGAACCAACGAGGAAGACGAAAACUGGGAGGAGACUAGAACACAAAAACAAAAGGCCCGAGACAGAGGGGACGAGCAGAAGAACCCGAAGGAACUGGAGGAGAAGACAGACGCGAACCAGACAAACAAUAAAAAACCCAGGGGAAGACAGGGGCGGGUUGAAACAGAGGAAAGGGAAGGCAGAGUUCCUUCAUAACUUCGGCAACCGAAAACAACAAACGAAAACCGGAGGGAGCACAGGAGAUCGAUCAAAUACCAAAAGCAAGGGAACCAGCCAUUCGCAGAAUCACAAGAACAAAGAGGAAAGAAGGAAACAAAACGUGAAGCGAAAUGUGAAUGCAGGCUUGCUAGGAGACAGAAGAACUAUUUCAUUAUCCAGCAUAAACACUAUUGUUGACAUUAUUGGUCGAUCUGCUGGGGAUUCUUGAACUCAUAAAAGGCUUAUUUGAAUGGAUUUCAAACAUCAUGAGUAGGGUAUGACUUUCCUAAUUCCAGAUCCACCAUCUCCUAUGCUUUUCUUUCAUUCUAUAAGUCCCAAGCCUGGAAAUAGAAGUUCAAGAUAUCAUCCUUCACGAUAAGUAUAUAUGAUAAAAGGAAAAACUAGGGGAGACGUACAGUCUGAUAGUUACCUUGGGCUAUUUUAUUUUCUAGCCCAAACGAGCUACCAUGUAACUCGAUUGGGCUAAUUUUCGAAGCAAAACGGUAUUCAGCUUUUUCUCUCUUCUCUCUCUUUAUUAUUUUUUACUAUUAUUUAUGUUGAGUUCUCUUAUUUUUCGAGUUACCAUCAUUUGCUACAACUUUAGCUAGAGCUAUCAUAGUGGAAAACGCCACCUUUCAUGGUGAGUUACUACAAAUAUUUUUCAAAUAUUUUU
Populus nigra (black poplar) is the source of this 1528-nucleotide long non-coding RNA. RefSeq lists it as uncharacterized. Lineage: Eukaryota; Viridiplantae; Streptophyta; Magnoliopsida; Malpighiales; Salicaceae. The record is from RefSeq and is a predicted model, not a curated record. The transcript has 2 exons.